This 131-nucleotide small RNA is filed under the name Salmonella enterica. Its description in RNAcentral is "RtT sRNA". It matches the Rfam family "RtT RNA". Rfam says of the family: This family represents a bacterial cis-regulatory element known as RtT RNA. Lineage: Bacteria; Pseudomonadati; Pseudomonadota; Gammaproteobacteria; Enterobacterales; Enterobacteriaceae. RNAcentral also lists the same sequence under 1 other name. The record is from RNAcentral.
UAUUUCUCCAUACGGGGAAGGAUGAGAAGUUUCGACCAAGGUUCGAUUCGAGCGCAGCGAGAAAGCGUUGACGCAGGCAACGACCCGAAGGGUGAGGAGCGGAGCGACGAAUAAUCCUUCCCCCACCACCA